Molecule: ribosomal RNA, 475 nt
Filed under: uncultured soil bacterium
Lineage: Bacteria
Description: bacterial SSU rRNA
Rfam family: Bacterial small subunit ribosomal RNA
Source: RNAcentral
GUUGGCGGCGUGGAUUAGGCAUGCAAGUCGAACGAGAACUGCUGCUGUAGCAAUACAGUGGCGGGGAAAGUGGCGAAAGGGGCAGUAAUGCGUGGGUAACCAACCCUGGGGACGGGGAUAGCCAUCCUAACGGAUGGGUAAUACCCGGCGAUGUAGCGAGUUCGCAUGGUCUUGCUACCAAAUGAGUUUCGCCCUGGGACGGGCUCACGUGAUAUUAGCUUGUUGGCGGGGUAACGGCCCACCAAGGCUAAGAUGUCUAGCAGGUGUGAGAGCACGACCUGCGCCACUGGCACUGAGACACUGGCCAGACUCCUACGGGAGGCUGCAGUCGAGGAUCUUCGGCAAUGGGCGCAAGCCUGACCGAGCGACGCCGCGUGUGCGAUGAAGGCCUUCGGGUUGUGAAGCACUGUCGAGGGGGAGGAAAGCCGAAAGGUCUGACCUAUCCCUGGAGGAAGCACGGGCUAAGUUCGUGCCA